Molecule: small RNA, 103 nt
Filed under: Klebsiella pneumoniae
Lineage: Bacteria; Pseudomonadati; Pseudomonadota; Gammaproteobacteria; Enterobacterales; Enterobacteriaceae
Description: partial RtT sRNA
Rfam family: RtT RNA
About the family: This family represents a bacterial cis-regulatory element known as RtT RNA.
Source: RNAcentral
UGCAUCUGGGGCCAGUGAGGAUGAGAACCUCCGGGGGCAGGAGGUUCGACUCGAGCGAAGCGAGAGAACGUUGCGUCAGCAACGGCCCGCAGGGCGAGCCACG